Long non-coding RNA from Alosa sapidissima (American shad), 152 nucleotides. RefSeq lists it as uncharacterized. The transcript has 3 exons. The record is from RefSeq and is a predicted model, not a curated record. Lineage: Eukaryota; Metazoa; Chordata; Actinopteri; Clupeiformes; Clupeidae.
GAGGGAGAGAGAGAGAGAGAGAGAGAGAGAGAGAGAGAGAAAGCAAGAGAAAAAGAGAGGCUGCCUGUCUAUAGAGGUCACGAGAAUUGGUUUCAGCAAAAAAAAAAAAAAACCUCUUCCAUGUCACAGAGGAACAAAAAGGCAUUGUUAAA